Non-coding RNA from Myotis lucifugus (little brown bat), 74 nucleotides. The record is from Rfam. NCBI's taxonomy places the organism in Eukaryota, Metazoa, Chordata, Mammalia, Chiroptera, Vespertilionidae.
GAUGGUUCUCGGGUGAUGCACCCUGGAAUCAGGCUUCUUCUUCUCUGGUUCUGGGCACGUCAUCAAGAACUGCA